Molecule: ribosomal RNA, 301 nt
Filed under: uncultured bacterium
Lineage: Bacteria
Description: partial 16S ribosomal RNA
Rfam family: Bacterial small subunit ribosomal RNA
Source: RNAcentral
CAGUAGCCGCGGGAAUACGUAGGUGGCAAGCGUUGUCCGGAAUUAUUGGGCGUAAAGGGCUCGCAGGCGGUUUCUUAAGUCUGAUGUGAAAGCCCCCGGCUCAGCCGGGGAGGGUCACUGGAAACUGGGAAACUUGAGUGCAGAAGAGGAGAGUGGAAUUCCACGUGUAGCGGUGAAAUGUGUAGAGAUGUGGAGGAACACCAGUGGCGAAGGCGACUCUCUGGUCUGUAACUGACGCUGAGGAGCGAAAGCGUGGGGAGCGAACAGGAUUAGAUACCCGCGUAGUCCCUGUCUCUUAUAC